GAUGAACGUUGGCGGCGUGCCUAAUACAUGCAAGUCGAACGAAGACUGUAGUAAUACUGUCUUAGUGGCGAACGGGUGAGUAACGCGUGGGUGGCCUGCCCCGAAGUGUGGGAUAACAGUCCGAAAGGAUUGCUAAUACUGCAUAAUAUCCAAGAGAUUAGAUGCUUUUGGAUUAAAGGAGUAAUUCGCUUCGGGAGGGGCCCGCGUCCCAUCAGCUAGUUGGUAAGGUAAUGGCUUACCAAGGCGAUGACGGGUAGGGGACCUGAGAGGGUGGCCCCCCACAAUGGAACUGAAACACGGUCCAUACACCUACGGGUGGCAGCAGUAGGGAAUAUUAGUAAUGGGCGAAAGCCUGAACUAGCAACGCCGCGUGUGCGAAGAAGGCCUUCGGGUUGUAAAGCACUUUUUGAGGGGAUGAGGAAGGACGGUACUCUCAGAAUAAGUCUCGGCUAACUACGUG
Molecule: ribosomal RNA, 460 nt
Filed under: uncultured bacterium
Lineage: Bacteria
Description: bacterial SSU rRNA
Rfam family: Bacterial small subunit ribosomal RNA
Source: RNAcentral